Molecule: unclassified non-coding RNA, 752 nt
Filed under: Hevea brasiliensis (rubber tree)
Lineage: Eukaryota; Viridiplantae; Streptophyta; Magnoliopsida; Malpighiales; Euphorbiaceae
Source: RNAcentral
GAAAAAAGGGAAACCGCUCUCUACAUUUAGAUUCAAGCUUUUGAUUGCUCAUGUGCUGAAGUUAGGCUGCUUAGCCCCGUCGAAACCCUAGAUUUUCAGUUCUCUNNNNNNAUCGUAAAUCCACGAAAUGGCCUUCUGGUGGCCAAUAAUUGUUCUUGUUUUUGCCUACGCGAUCUGUCGGUUCUUGUUGAUGCUCAUCCCUCCCAAUGUGCCUUCAAUUGACGUCGACGCCUCCGAUGUGUUGGAUAGGAAUCAAUCACAGGACAACAGCUUCAUAUAUAUACCUCCUAGAGGAAGGACACAGCAACAAGACAAAAAAGUCCAGUGCUAUGAGCCUGCAACUAUGAAGUACUUGGGAUUUUUCCCUGCCUUGUCACCUGUUGAGGUCAAGGAGCACGUGGCAGAGGCAAGGAAGGCUCAGAAAUUAUGGGCCAAGAGCAGCUUCAAGCAAAGACGCCAGUUUUUGCGGAUACUUCUGAAAUAUAUUAUUGAACACCAAGAGCUUAUAUGCGAAGUAUCUUCGCGCGAUACUGGAAAAACAAUGGUAGAUGCCUCUUUAGGAGAAAUAAUGACUACAUGUGAGAAGAUCACUUGGCUUCUCUCAGAGGGUGAGCGGUGGCUAAAGCCUGAAUAUCGAUCUUCCGGGAGAUCAAUGCUUCACAAGAAAUCCAAGGUGGAGUUUCAUCCUCUUGGUGUUAUUGGUGCCAUUGUGUCAUGGAACUAUCCUUUUCAUAAUAUUUUUAAUCCAAUGC